RNAcentral lists this ribosomal RNA (253 nucleotides) under uncultured bacterium. RNAcentral's name for it is "partial 16S ribosomal RNA". It matches the Rfam family "Bacterial small subunit ribosomal RNA", at positions 524 to 776 of the family's 1533-position model. The record is from RNAcentral.
UACGAGGGGGGCAAGCGUUGUUCGGAAUUAUUGGGCGUAAAGGGCGCGUAGGCGGUGCGGUAAGUCACCUGUGAAAACUCUGGGCUCAACUCAGAGCCUGCAGGCGAAACUGCCGUGCUUGAGUGUGGGAGAGGUGCGUGGAAUUCCCGGUGUAGCGGUGAAAUGCGUAGAUAUCUGGAGGAACACCGGUGGCGAAGGCGGCAUCCUGGACCGACACUGACGCUGAGGAGCGAAAGCCAGGGGAGCAAACGGG